UCGGCGGCCGAACCUGACUUUUGCCCGUUGGGCAGAAACUUGCUCUGUUUCAUGCAAAACUUACCCAAACCUUACUCAACAUGCAUAUCAACUACUCCCAACUAGCAUAUCCACAUAGAUAUGCACAAAGGGGUCUAAAACUAUCCUAAAACCCCAAACAAACACAACUAACAACACUUAAACAUGCUUCAACUCAAAGAUCAUCAAAAACCUCACCUAAACCUAAACAUGCAUACUACCCAUACAAACUUCAUAAAACCUUC
This 263-nucleotide long non-coding RNA is filed under the name Manihot esculenta (cassava). Its description in RNAcentral is "long non-coding RNA (MESC_LNC006573)". Lineage: Eukaryota; Viridiplantae; Streptophyta; Magnoliopsida; Malpighiales; Euphorbiaceae. The record is from RNAcentral.